Long non-coding RNA from Rosa chinensis, 548 nucleotides. RefSeq lists it as uncharacterized. The record is from RefSeq and is a predicted model, not a curated record. Lineage: Eukaryota; Viridiplantae; Streptophyta; Magnoliopsida; Rosales; Rosaceae. The transcript has 3 exons.
CCUCAACCCAACACUAAACUAUUCAGGAGUUAAAAUGCUGUUGUAAUCCUGUUGCUGCUUUCUCAUGAGAGAAACAAUCAGCUUUGUCAGAUACAGCCAAAUCAAGUCUCCAGGUCUCUUAAAAUAGCGUAACAAAAUAAGAAAAGAAAAACAGAAGAAAAAGAAAGAAAAAUAAGAAGAGCAGAAGAAUGAGGAUUAUGCUUCCAUGAAAAGGUCUGGCCAUCUGAACUUCCAUGUAAGUGCUUCCUUCAAGAGGAAAAUCCAUGUCAUUUCAUUUGGACGAAUUUGUGCAGAAAUCAAUGAGACUCUCACAUGGAUGCUCUGCCCCAGUCAACUAAUUGCUAGUCUCAUUUUCUGCAUUUUGAUUAGACCAGAAGUGCUUUAUUUUCAUUUUUUGCAAAACAGAACUGUACAUGUAAUUCAUGGUAAUCUACUCAAGAUCAGUAGAAUGUGAUCGGUAUUCUUGCAAGUCUUUAAUGGUUUCUCAUCAUUAUGACAAGAAAGUAAAGCUCAAUAUUGUUGUACUAGUCUAUAUGGUGACUAUAAGA